RNAcentral lists this long non-coding RNA (524 nucleotides) under Monodelphis domestica (gray short-tailed opossum). RNAcentral's name for it is "lncRNA (ENSMODG00000032691.2)". The record is from RNAcentral. Lineage: Eukaryota; Metazoa; Chordata; Mammalia; Didelphimorphia; Didelphidae.
ACAUAAAUCUUUUCUUAGAUAUUAAAUGACCAAUUACUGUAUUAUUUCUUUCCAAGGUUGAACUCAAUCUACGACAGGAUCAGCUUUAGUCAACCUAGAGGACAGCAGACUUUGUAGAGUCAAGAGUUAGCAUCUGAUUUGUGCUUCACCAAUCUGAAGAAUCAGAAAGCAGCAGCUUUUGAUACCACAUCAGAGGCCAUGUCUAUUAACAGUACAGCUGAGAUGAGACAAGAAUGACUGACCUGAACUUUACAGGCCGGGUCCCUUAGGAAAUGCAGAGACUAAGAAGAAAGGCAGACUGAGACUUUCCUUUGGUGGUUUUUUAGAGGUCUCCAAAGAAAUUCAAGUACUAUAGUGGAGCCCAUUACAAAGAAUUUUAGUUAAUGUUCUUCCUUUGGAUGUGGAUAGUGUUCUUUCUCAUAAGUCCCUCAGGGGGGGUGGAGUCAAGAUGGCGGCAUAGAGGCAGCAAAAGUUCAGACAUCUGAAAACCCUUCCUUAUUGAUCACAAACUGAAUGCUCUGAAG